UACAGAGGGUGCAAGCGUUGUUCGGAAUUAUUGGGCGUAAAGCGCGUGUAGGCGGCUUUGCAAGUCGGGUGUGAAAUCCCUCAGCUUAACUGAGGAAGUGCGCCCGAAACUGCCGAGCUUGAGUGCCGGAGAGGAUGGCGGAAUUCCCCAAGUAGAGGUGAAAUUCGUAGAUAUGGGGAGGAACACCGGUGGCGAAGGCGGCCAUCUGGACGGUGACUGACGCUGAGACGCGAAAGCGUGGGGAGCAAACAGG
Molecule: ribosomal RNA, 253 nt
Filed under: uncultured bacterium
Lineage: Bacteria
Description: partial 16S ribosomal RNA
Rfam family: Bacterial small subunit ribosomal RNA
Source: RNAcentral